GACGAACGCUGGCGGCGUGCUUAACACAUGCAAGUCGAACGGAAAGGCCCUGCUUUUGUGGGGUGCUCGAGUGGCGAACGGGUGAGUAACACGUGAGUAACCUGCCCUUGACUUUGGGAUAACUUCAGGAAACUGGGGCUAAUACCGGAUAGGAGCUCCUGCUGCAUGGUGGGGGUUGGAAAGUUUCGGCGGUUGGGGAUGGACUCGCGGCUUAUCAGCUUGUUGGUGGGGUAGUGGCUUACCAAGGCUUUGACGGGUAGCCGGCCCGAGAGGGUGACCGGCCACAUUGGGACUGAGAUACGGCCCAGACUCCUACGGGAGGCAGCAGUGGGGAAUAUUGCACAAUGGGCGGGAGCCUGAUGCAGCAACGCCGCGUGCGGGAUGACGGCCUUCGGGUUGUAAACCGCUUUCGCCUGUGACGAAGCGUGAGUGACGGUAAUGGGUAAAGAAGCACCGGCUAACUACGUG
RNAcentral lists this ribosomal RNA (468 nucleotides) under uncultured bacterium. RNAcentral describes it as "partial 16S ribosomal RNA". It matches the Rfam family "Bacterial small subunit ribosomal RNA", at positions 28 to 507 of the family's 1533-position model. The record is from RNAcentral.